ACUGCCCACGAGCGAAAUCAAAUGAACGAGGCCCCCUCGACUCCUUUCUCGAUCUGUUUCCUAGGGUGUGAACACCGCCGCCGCUGAUCCCAUCUUCCCCGGCGACAUGCCUCGCUGGCGGCCUCCUCUCUCCCAUCCACGCCGGCGACCUCCCUCUACCCCGCCCUCUUCGUCAACCCGUCUCUCCAGCAGCUCGGGCGAAACCCUUGCCCACCCGAUGCCACAGCGACCUAGCAGGCAGGCGGGAGGAGCCUUGCCCGGCCAUGGCGACACCGCCGGCGGCCUCCUCCUCCCCCUCACCUUCUCUCCCUCUCCCAAGGGAGGGAAGGGAAUGGAAGGGAUCCGACGGCAAAGGGAGGCAGCGCCUAGAUCCGCAGCCGCACCGGCGGGCCGCCGUCCCUCGAGGUCGUCCAUGGAGGUCCGACCCUCCCUUUAGCCAUGGACUGAGACGCCCGAAACCCUAGCUACCCGUGGAGGUCCAACGCCUCAACCUCCAAGGAAAGGACGCGCGCCGGCUGCAGGCCAUCUCCGGCGACCUCCGACCAUGGUUGCUCGGAUCUGGACCAGCUGCUGCUCCUACUGCUUCAGGUGGACGAGGACGAGCCCUCCCUCAUGGCUGCUGCGGCUGCCUACUCCCUUGGUCACCACGCCCCUCCCGUGCCUGGGGUCUCCUUUCUCUCCCGCAGCGGCCGCAGUAGGCGCGUGUGGCUAGAAGGGUUGAGGGAGCGAGGUCAGUGCACUCAGGGCGGACGCGGCUGGAGGUCAACGACGAGCAAGGGGCACGGCGGCGGCAGGUGGCUGCUGUAGCAGAACCAGCCAUCUUCCCGAUCCAGGCUGCCCAGGCAGGUUCCAGCCGGGCAUCCGCUGGCCACGCGCAUAAAUGUAUCAGGAUAAAUGCCAUGUGUUGUGGCAAUGAAGAAAAGAAAAAGAGAGUUGCCAGAACUAGGACAUGACACAAUUGGAAUCUGUCAGUUCUGAACUGAAUAUUUUGUGCACAUUGCAGCAGAGAAAUUGGGGUAGUUUACAGUUUUAUGAUCUGUAUAGUGAGCUCUAAGGGUAACAAGACCUUAUUUUCUUUAUGGAAUUUGGUGUCUCAUCUCAAAUAUGUGUGCCUCUACGAUGUAAAUAUCUGGAGAUGUGUACUUCUGGAAUAUUAUAACUCGAAGUGAAUUCUCAUUUCACUUCUUGCUUAUUUAGUGGAAUAUAAUCGGACGAAGAGCGGAGGAAAGUGGACCAUGAACAAUGGCGUGGCUCCGUAAUGUGGGACACCUCGCCAUUGAGGCGAGCGGCGGCUGCAUAUCCCACACCACACUUACCAUCUGCACGGGGGCCAUGGCCAAGCGAUGAAUUUUGCUCUGCACCAAGCUGGGAGUUUCUGCCUUGGCCUGCUCUUGACCAGCGGAGAGGGCACCAUGGCGAAGGUGAGGUGGGCAUCAUCCAGUUUUAAAGGGGAGGGCUCCAGCAAGAAAUGUACCGCUACGGCGAGAAACCGAGCUGGAAAGGGAGCGUCCAACAGAAAAAUGGCAGGGUGCGUCAGGGGGUGGCAUUUUGCAGAAUGGUCUGGGGAGGUUCGCAACAUUGUCUACUCAUCUGAUGGGAAAAUCUCUAUCUGUUGCGUAUCGUGUGACUAUGGAACUGAUGCAGAGUUUGUAGGUCCUACUAUUUGAUCAGUGGAUGCGACUGAUGGGGGCAUGGAGAUGAUGGCGAGGCAUCGUGUUGUGGUGGCGGUGAUGAAGGUAACCUCGUCGAUGGCGGCGGCGACUGGUGGCUGUUGACGAAAGCGAUUCGGGGAUGGGGGAUGUGGAGUGGCAAGGGAUGGAGGCGUAGAACUGCAGCCGGGGAGACGGAGUGGCGGCAAGAUUGGACGAGCUCGCCUGCGGAGUGCGUGGGCAAGAUUUCCCUUUCCGGGUCAAACGAGGGCUUCCUUCUGUGUGUAUGUGUUUGUGUGUGUGCGCGCACACACAUGCGUGAGUUCACACUGAUAUUCCACUAAGUACAGCGCAUGCUUAACUGAAAUUCUAGACAAAAGUUCACAUCCGGUUGGUACAUGUAAGAAGCUCAUUUCUAAUUUAUCAGGUGGCAUAAAUAGACCAUAAAAUUAUCUUCAUUUAUAGUGCUAAAGAUAUGCCAAUACAUUUUCUUACGUUUAGGGUCCUAAACCUGUUGAAUGAAUUCUAUAUACAAGACUUACAGUUGUCCUUCUAUAAAUUAAGACUGAAUUUGCUAAUCUUUGUUGUAUUGCUAUUGAUGAGUCUAUAAUUGUCAACCUUGACAGUAACAAAACUCAAGAUAGUUUUAUCUCUUAGUGUGAGCAAAUAAGAUUUUUUAAGAGCUUUCCUUUGGAAUAUUUUUCUAUUACAGAAGUUGAUGCUCGAUAUUUUUAUCCAUUCCUGAUAUCAUUUCUUGAUCUACUACAUCAUUAACAAGAGCUUGGGAUUGCUUCAGGGAUUCUACGGAUGUUCUCCCAUAACCUCUUGAAGUGAUGCAAUGCGACGAUCUUCAACCAUGAAAAUGAAACUGCCAGCGUGGACGGAAACUGCCAGCAUGGACGGCCUACUCCUAUGAUCUCACAGGUUCUUGCUUACACUGGGAAUGAUGAGGCUAACAAGUUUUUCCUUGGAGGUGAAUGUCACUUGACAACACGAAGCUUCAGCUGCAGCAGCGUCUUGCCUGCGUCAUAUAUUUUGUAUUAUGUUUUUGUGGGCAUGGUUCUGAACUUUGGCAUCGAUGGAUAGAAUUUCGUCCAAACUAUAAUGUUGUUGUUCAAGUGUAGGAUAAUUCGUUUUGAUGUCUCUGUUGUGUGUGCGCGGGCAUGUGCCAAAGGCGUCUAAUAGAACCCAGGUGAAGGCGAAGGAGGUUUGGCUCUCAGGCAUGUGUAACACUCGAUGAUAACAACGUGCAGACUGAAAAUAUGGAUCCCAAGUUCAAAGCCAUAUCCAAUUAGUUUGUCUCUCAAAAAAAAAUACAACAAAUGCUAAAGGAUGAUUUACCCAUGGAGGCAUGGACCGAGAUUGCUUUAAUUUGGUCGUACGGAAGAUUAUGUUUGAUGACAUCCAAAUGGCACAAAAAACAAAACAAUUGAUAGACAAACAUUAUCUCGACAUGAAAUUUUGGACUUGCUUGCUGGUGGCUGGUGCCCUGCAGGGACCAGGUGGUGCCGUCGGCCGCGGCGCCGCCGCCACCGUCGUUGCAGCAGCUAGGCCGGGAGUAGCCGAGCAGGGGAGAAGCAUAAUUGUUUUCUAUAUUCUGCUCCUCCCACCGACCAGUUGAGGGUUGGAGUCAUCGCACAGCGCCGUCAGGCGUCAGCUAAGUUAAAGAAUUGAGAAUUGGACGACUGGCCGGUUCGUACGGCUGCUCUUAGUGCUCUGCCGAUUUGGCCUUCGGAUUGUUGCCUGCUUAACUGCUUGUGGGAUGUAUAAGCACAAAAAACAGUUCAAAAAAUUACAAAUGAAAUAUAAUAUUUCAAAAAAAUGUUCAUCACCAUAAAAAUGAUAAUUUUUUAAAAAUAUUCUCGAAUUUUUUAUUUAAAAUACACCUCAUAAUAAAAAUGUUUGUGCUUUCUGAACAACCAAAAAAAAAUACUUUCAUCUGAUGAAAUGAAAGUGCAUAGCUGAAAUAGGUAUGACGAACAUUGUUAGGGUACGACCAAAUUUCAUGGUCCAAAAAAAUCAUAGUUAAAAAAGGCGCGCCUAGAUUCUAGGCGUUGGCAAAUACUCAGUGUAAUCUUAUUUUUGACGUUUGCAAAAGUAGGACUAAAAAGUGUUGAAUAAUGGCACAUGGAGCAGGUUUUAAUU
Long non-coding RNA from Triticum aestivum (bread wheat), 3794 nucleotides. RefSeq lists it as uncharacterized. The transcript has 9 exons. The record is from RefSeq and is a predicted model, not a curated record. Lineage: Eukaryota; Viridiplantae; Streptophyta; Magnoliopsida; Poales; Poaceae.